UGUGGUAUAUUUUGCACUUUAGACUGCAAUUGGAAGUUGUUUUGAUCAUUCUGCGUAUUUCAUAUUGUGUGAAUGGAAUUUUUAGUUUGGAAUACAUUCGCUAACUGUUUAACGCUCAAAUGUGUGUUUAAUUAUACAUAAAUAUAAUUGGGCCUGAUUUAAUGCCAAAAAAUUUAUACAAGGAACUUUGUAGAUUUCAUAAUCUUUGCAAACAAGUGGAAAUAAUUUUUGUGAGAAAAACUGACAUAAGCAAAA
This 255-nucleotide long non-coding RNA is filed under the name Mytilus galloprovincialis (Mediterranean mussel). Lineage: Eukaryota; Metazoa; Mollusca; Bivalvia; Mytilida; Mytilidae. The record is from RNAcentral.